GAAGGUAGCGUAAUCAUUUGUCUUUUAAAUAGAGACCUGUAUGAAUGGCAUAACGAGGGUUUAACUGUCUCCCUCCCCCAGUCAAUGAAAUUGAUCUGCCCGUGCAGAAGCGGGCAUAAACACAUAAGACGAGAAGACCCUAUGGAGCUUUAGACAAAAGAUCAAACAUGUAAAGAAACCAAACCAACCAAAAGGAACACAAAGGCCACAAAACCCAACGUAAAAUGAUCAAAAUGUCUUCGGUUGGGGCGACCAUGGGGGAAAGAAAAGCCCCCACGAGGAACUAAGGGCAAUCCAUUAAGCCAAGAGAUACACCUCUAAGCAACAGAAAAUCUGACCAAAAAUGACCCAGGACACUAAUCCUGAUCAACGAACCAAGUUACCCUAGGGAUAACAGCGCAAUCCUUUCCCAGAGUCCAUAUCGACGAAAGGGUUUACGACCUCGAUGUUGGAUCAGGACAUCCUAAUGGUGCAGCCGCUAUUAAGGGUUCGUUUGUUC
This 499-nucleotide ribosomal RNA is filed under the name Anguilla marmorata (giant mottled eel). Its description in RNAcentral is "partial 16S rRNA". It matches the Rfam family "Bacterial large subunit ribosomal RNA", at positions 1952 to 2582 of the family's 2925-position model. Lineage: Eukaryota; Metazoa; Chordata; Actinopteri; Anguilliformes; Anguillidae. The record is from RNAcentral.